AAAGCAACUCACAGGGUUGCACUUCCCUCCCCAAAGGCGAUGCUAGUGACAAAGCACCAAAACAGUAGGCGGAUCUUUACCCAAACAGCGCAUAUAGCUGCAAUACAGUAGCUGGCCAAACUUCAACAAACCUUCGAAGGGAACACCAGUUAACGGUACUCAAAGGGAGACAAACUCAUAUAAACAACUAAGGAAUUCCCUGAAGGAGUGCCUGAAGCCUUGGAGCACCUAAAAAUGCUCCAAACCAGUCUUAAAACAAAUCUCUAAGCAAGUUGCACAAAAAUCAUAA
Molecule: unclassified non-coding RNA, 289 nt
Filed under: Hevea brasiliensis (rubber tree)
Lineage: Eukaryota; Viridiplantae; Streptophyta; Magnoliopsida; Malpighiales; Euphorbiaceae
Source: RNAcentral